Molecule: ribosomal RNA, 505 nt
Filed under: uncultured bacterium
Lineage: Bacteria
Description: partial 16S ribosomal RNA
Rfam family: Bacterial small subunit ribosomal RNA
Source: RNAcentral
AUUGAACGCUGGCGGCAGGCCUAACACAUGCAAGUCGGACGGUAGCACAGAGGAGCUUGCUCCUCGGGUGACGAGUGGCGGACGGGUGAGUAAUGUCUGGGGAUCUGCCCGAUAGAGGGGGAUAACCACUGGAAACGGUGGCUAAUACCGCAUAACGUCGCAAGACCAAAGAGGGGGACCUUCGGGCCUCUCACUAUCGGAUGAACCAGAUGCGAUUAGCUAGUAGGCGGGGUAAUAGCCCACCUAGGCGACGAUCCCUAGCUGGUCUGAGAGGAUGACCAGCCACACUGGAACUGAGACACGGUCCAGACUCCUACGGGAGGCAGCAGUGGGGAAUAUUGCACAAUGGGCGCAAGCCUGAUGCAGCCAUGCCGCGUGUAUGAAGAAGGCCUUCGGGUUGUAAAGUACUUUCAGCGGGGAGGAAGGCGACGUGGUUAAUAACCUUGUCGAUUGACGUUACCCGCAGAAGAAGCACCGGCUAACUCCGUGCCAGCCGCCGCAGUAA